GAUGAACGCUGGCGGCGUGCCUAAUACAUGCAAGUCGAGCGAACAGACGAGGAGCUUGCUCCUCUGACGUUAGCGGCGGACGGGUGAGUAACACGUGGAUAACCUACCUAUAAGACUGGGAUAACUUCGGGAAACCGGAGCUAAUACCGGAUAACAUGUUGAACCGCAUGGUUCAACAGUGAAAGACGGUCUUGCUGUCACUUAUAGAUGGAUCCGCGCCGCAUUAGCUAGUUGGUAAGGUAACGGCUUACCAAGGCAACGAUGCGUAGCCGACCUGAGAGGGUGAUCGGCCACACUGGAACUGAGACACGGUCCAGACUCCUACGGGAGGCAGCAGUAGGGAAUCUUCCGCAAUGGGCGAAAGCCUGACGGAGCAACGCCGCGUGAGUGAUGAAGGUCUUCGGAUCGUAAAACUCUGUUAUUAGGGAAGAACAAAUGUGUAAGUAACUAUGCACGUCUUGACGGUACCUAAUCAGAAAGCCGCGGCUAACUACGUG
Molecule: ribosomal RNA, 497 nt
Filed under: uncultured bacterium
Lineage: Bacteria
Description: partial 16S ribosomal RNA
Rfam family: Bacterial small subunit ribosomal RNA
Source: RNAcentral